Molecule: long non-coding RNA, 758 nt
Organism: Neopsephotus bourkii (Bourke's parrot)
Lineage: Eukaryota; Metazoa; Chordata; Aves; Psittaciformes; Psittacidae
Exons: 5
Source: RefSeq, a predicted model, not a curated record
CCGCUCCCCGCCACGGCGGAAAGUUUCCCAGAGCCUGGCGGAAGGGGGUUAAGUCGGAGGGAGGCGCAGGUGGAAUUGAUGCGGAGGAGGGCUGCCGCGGCUAGUCGGGCUGCCUCUGCCCGGGGGCUCCCCACCCUUCUGGGGCAGGGCUGUGGAGCCCGGAGAGCCUCCUUCAGCGAGGACUAACACCUGUCUCCUUCCCUAUGGGUCCCUGCAGAGGAUAAACGAGCUGACGCAUGGUCUUCUUACUGACUUCAGAACUAAAAGUAACACAGCAAAUACUGUGGAGAGGGAGUAAAAGCUGUAAGAUACUCUAUGGAUAUGCACUGGCUUCUUCUGCACAUGUGUAGAAGAAGGUCCAGCUAGCAAGUCAGAACCGAGGAAGCUGUGGAAGAAGAUUGCUCAGAGAAGCAGAAGGGAUAUAGUAUAUUCAUCUGGAGUUGUUACUAGAAGCCAGAUCCAUCCAGGAUUGAAAGGAUGAUGGGGACAUAAUUCAACAGAUUCAUUUGGAACAGCUGUCAUUCUUCUAGCUGACAGAGGGACCAGAAAAAAAGACUGGAAUACUAUGAGUAGAUCUAAGUCCUUUCUACUUAUGUGGAUGCUCAGUAUUCUUCUCCUGGCCUCAUCAGAGGUGAUCAACAUAUAGUCUCAACAACCACGGCUAGGAAGUGCGAUUAAGGUACCAUAAUUUCCCUUUUAAUAUGGGCAUGCUUUGGGUGAAAUUGAUUUCCAAAAUAUUCUUCCCAAUAAUCCGUUUA